GGACUACACGGGUUUCUAAUCCCGUUUGCUCCCCUGGCUUUCGCGCCUCAGCGUCAGAAAAGGUCCAGCACGCUGCUUUCGCCAUCGGUGUUCCUUCCGAUAUCUACGCAUUUCACCGCUCCACCGGAAGUUCCGCAUGCCCCUACCUCCCUCAAGGCCGCCAGUAUCGAAGGCGAUUUUCCGGUUGAGCCGAAAGAUUUCACCACCGACUUGACAGCCCGCCUACGCGCCCUUUAAACCCAGUGAUUCCGAACAACGUUCGCACGGUUCGUCUUACCGCGGCUGCUGGCAC
RNAcentral lists this ribosomal RNA (292 nucleotides) under uncultured Planctomycetota bacterium. Its description in RNAcentral is "uncultured planctomycete partial 16S ribosomal RNA". The record is from RNAcentral. Lineage: Bacteria; Pseudomonadati; Planctomycetota.